RNAcentral lists this ribosomal RNA (484 nucleotides) under uncultured bacterium. RNAcentral describes it as "partial 16S ribosomal RNA". It matches the Rfam family "Bacterial small subunit ribosomal RNA", at positions 30 to 507 of the family's 1533-position model. The record is from RNAcentral.
AUUGAACGCUGGCGGCAGGCCUAACACAUGCAAGUCGAGCGGAUGAAGGGAGCUUGCUCCUGGAUUCAGCGGCGGACGGGUGAGUAAUGCCUAGGAAUCUGCCUGGUAGUGGGGGAUAACGUCCGGAAACGGGCGCUAAUACCGCAUACGUCCUGAGGGAGAAAGUGGGGGAUCUUCGGACCUCACGCUAUCAGAUGAGCCUAGGUCGGAUUAGCUAGUUGGUGGGGUAAAGGCCUACCAAGGCGACGAUCCGUAACUGGUCUGAGAGGAUGAUCAGUCACACUGGCAGUGAGACACGGUCCAGACUCCUACGGGAGGAAGCAGUGGGGAAUAUUGGACGAUGGGCGAAAGCCUGAUACAGCCAUGCCGGGUGUGUGAAGAAGGUCUACGGAUUGUAAAGCGCUGUAAGUUGGGAGGAAGGGCAGUAAGUUAAUACCUUGCUGUUUUGACGGUACCAACAGAAUAAGCACCGGCUAACUUCGUG